This 1555-nucleotide small RNA is filed under the name Pongo abelii (Sumatran orangutan). Its description in RNAcentral is "processed transcript". The record is from RNAcentral. Lineage: Eukaryota; Metazoa; Chordata; Mammalia; Primates; Hominidae.
GGUUGAUUCUUCACCACACUGAAACCAUUAGGAAAAAUCCUUGUGGUUAACAGCAGAGGCUUCAGAGUGUAACCUGUACUCGGGCCUAGAAAUUAUUUAAAAUGGCGACUGAUACGUCUCAAGGUGAACUCGUCCAUCCUAAGGCACUCCCACUUAUAGUAGGAGCUCAGCUGAUCCACGCGGACAAGUUAGGUGAGAAGGUAGAAGAUAGCACCAUGCCGAUUCGUCGAACUGUGAAUUCCACCCGGGAAACUCCUCCCAAAAGCAAGCUUGCUGAAGGGGAGGAAGAAAAGCCAGAACCAGACAUAAGUUCAGAGGAAUCUGUCUCCACUGUAGAAGAACAAGAGAAUGAAACUCCACCUGCUACUUCGAGUGAGGCAGAGCAGCCAAAGGGGGAACCUGAGAAUGAAGAGAAGGAAGAAAAUAAGUCUUCUGAGGAAACCAAAAAGGAGUAAGGAGUUAUGUCUUCUUGCUAUUUAUAUUUGAAGAAUGUGUAAAAGGACUUUAGAUCAGAUUGUUUUGAAGUGUUAUGACAUUGGUUUAUGCUAGGUAUUUGCUAUUUGGAUUUAAUUUUUAGAAUUACCAUUUGAAAUAGGUUUAUCAUAUAGUUGUAUGACCUGUUAGAAUAUGCUGAGUUAGCAGAACACAAUGGUUUGAAUAAUCCAAAAGUCUUUGUCAUUGGCCUUGGAAUGUGUUUUUGAGCUUGUAAUUUAUUGUGGGAGUAUCUGAUAUUUUAAGCAUUGGCAAGACUUCAAUAAGAAAUGAAACAUAACUAUAAAAAUCUGACCUAGAAGACAUUUCACUAUUUUAUUCCUACUUCUGUGCCAGGAGUGGGUUGUUUUUGUGUGCUUAUAUUAGAAGGCAUUAAUCUGUAUCAAGCCAUUGGUAGUGUGACCUAAAAGUCUAUAUAUGUUUGAUGAAGUAUUCAGUUGAAGAAUUGGCUUUGAGAAUCUGAAAGUAAAAUUUGCUGUUGAUGUGUAUCUGUAUAAGGUGAUGGCAGUUACUUUUUAAUUUUUUUUUUUUUUUUUUUGCAGGAGAGCUGGUAGUAUUCAUUCCACUCUUUUCAUAAUUGGUCAGAACAGUUAGAAAUUGCUUUUAACUGUAGUCAUGCAUUGCUUAACAAUGGGUAUACAUUCUGAGAGAUGCAUCUUUAGGCAAUUUCAUCAUUGUGCCAACAUCAUAAAGUGUACUUACACAAACCUACAUGGUACAGCCUACUACAUAACUAGGCUUUGGGAUAGUCUGUUGCUCCUAGGCUACAAACCUGUACAGCAUGUUACUGUACUAAAUACUGUAGGCAGUUAUAACAUAAUGGUAAGUAUUUGUGUAUUUAAACAUAGAGAAGGUACAGUAAAAAUAUAACAUAAAAGAUAAAAAAUGGUAUACCUGUGUAGGACACCUACCAUGAAUGGACCUUAAAAGAAUGGAAGUUGUUUGGGUGAGUGGGUGAGUGGUAAGUGAAUGCAAAGGCCUAGGACUACUGUGUGCAACUUUUAAAAAUAUAAAGUUUUUAUUUUUAAAAACUUUUAAAACUUUACCAAAAACAAAGACACAA